This 75-nucleotide transfer RNA is filed under the name Lophiotrema nucula. RNAcentral describes it as "tRNA-Arg". Lineage: Eukaryota; Fungi; Ascomycota; Dothideomycetes; Pleosporales; Lophiotremataceae. The record is from RNAcentral.
GACUAGAAUGGCAAGGCGCUUGACUACGAUAAACGUGUAAUCAAGAGAUUCCAGGUUCGACCCCUGGCAUGGUCA